This 73-nucleotide transfer RNA is filed under the name Heliconius melpomene (postman butterfly). RNAcentral's name for it is "tRNA HMEL007087". Lineage: Eukaryota; Metazoa; Arthropoda; Insecta; Lepidoptera; Nymphalidae. The record is from RNAcentral.
GAACGUAUGGCUUAGUUGGUCAGUGGGCUUGGACGGUUUCUAAGAGGAGCGGGUUCAAAUCCCGCUAUGUAAA